RNAcentral lists this ribosomal RNA (492 nucleotides) under uncultured bacterium. Its description in RNAcentral is "partial 16S ribosomal RNA". It matches the Rfam family "Bacterial small subunit ribosomal RNA", at positions 29 to 507 of the family's 1533-position model. The record is from RNAcentral.
AGUGAGCGCUGGCGGUAGGCCUAACACAUGCAAGUCGAACGGCAGCACAGUAAGAGCUUGCUCUUACGGGUGGCGAGUGGCGGACGGGUAAGGAAUACAUCGGAAUCUACUUUUUCGUGGGGGAUAACGUAGGGAAACUUACGCUAAUACCGCAUACGACCUACGGGUGAAAGCAGGGGAUCUUCGGACCUUGCGCGAUUGAAUGAGCCGAUGUCGGAUUAGCUAGUUGGCGGGGUAAAGGCCCACCAAGGCGACGAUCCGUAGCUGGUCUGAGAGGAUGAUCAGCCACACUGGAACUGAGACACGGUCCAGACUCCUACGGGAGGCAGCAGUGGGGAAUAUUGGACAAUGGGCGCAAGCCUGAUCCAGCCAUACCGCGUGGGUGAAGAAGGCCUUCGGGUUGUAAAGCCCUUUUGUUGGGAAAGAAAAGCAGCAGGUUAAUACCCCGCUGUUCUGACGGUACCCAAAGAAUAAGCACCGGCUAACUUCGUG